ACGCUGGCGGCGUGCCUAACACAUGCAAGUCGAGCGGCAGCGCGGGGCAACCUGGCGGCGAGCGGCGGACGGGUGAGCAAUAUUUGGGAAUCUGCCUAUUAGUGGGGGAUAACCCGGGGAAACUCGGGCUAAUACCGCAUACGCACUACGGUGGAAAGCCGGGGACCGCAAGGCCUGGCGCUAAUAGAUGAGCCCAAAUCGGAUUAGCUAGUUGGUGAGGUAAUGGCUCACCAAGGCGACGAUCCGUAGCUGGUUUGAGAGAACGACCAGCCACACCGGAACUGAGACACGGUCCGGACUCCUACGGGAGGCAGCAGUGGGAAAUAUUGGACAAUGGGCGAAAGCCUGAUCCAGCGACGCCGCGUGGGUGAAGAAGGCCUGCGGGUUGUAAAGCCCUUUCGGUUGGGAAGAAAUGUAUUGACCUAACACGUCAGUACCUUGACGUAACCAACAAAAGAAGCACCGGCUAACUCUGUGCCAGCAGCCGCGGUAAUACAGAGGGUGCAAGCGUUAAUCGGAAUUACUGGGCGUAAAGCGCGCGUAGGCGGCUUGACAAGUCGAGUGUGAAAUCCCCGGGCUUAACCUGGGACCUGCAUUCGAAACUGUCUUGCUAGAGUAUGGGAGAGGGAAGUGGAAUUUCAGGUGUAGCGGUGAAAUGCGUAGAUAUCUGAAGGAACAUCAGUGGCGAAAGCGACUUCCUGGACCAAUACUGACGCUCAGGUGCGAAAGCGUGGGGAGCAAACAGGAUUAGAUACCCUGGUAGUCCACGCCAUAAACGAUGACAACUAGAUGUUGGGAGGGUUAGCCUCUCGGUGUCGUAGCUAACGCGUUAAGUUGUCCGCCUGGG
Molecule: ribosomal RNA, 847 nt
Filed under: uncultured bacterium
Lineage: Bacteria
Description: bacterial SSU rRNA
Rfam family: Bacterial small subunit ribosomal RNA
Source: RNAcentral